This 237-nucleotide ribosomal RNA is filed under the name uncultured bacterium. Its description in RNAcentral is "partial 16S ribosomal RNA". It matches the Rfam family "Bacterial small subunit ribosomal RNA", at positions 96 to 334 of the family's 1533-position model. The record is from RNAcentral.
CGGCGAACGGGUGAGUAACACGUGAGCAACCUGCCCCGAAGACUGGGAUAACACCGGGAAACCGGUGCUAAUACCGGAUACCCCCACCAGGCCGCAUGACCAGGUGAGGAAAUGAAUUUCGCUUCGGGAGGGGCUCGCGGGCUAUCAGCUUGUUGGUGGGGUAACGGCCUACCAAGGCGACGACGGCUAGCUGGUCUGAGAGGACGACCAGCCACACUGGGACUGAGACACGGCCAG